This is a long non-coding RNA of Lampris incognitus (smalleye Pacific opah), 2330 nucleotides long. RefSeq lists it as uncharacterized. The record is from RefSeq and is a predicted model, not a curated record. The transcript has 10 exons. Lineage: Eukaryota; Metazoa; Chordata; Actinopteri; Lampriformes; Lampridae.
CCUUCUACUUCGUGGAAAGGGAUGGAGGACGUCAAGAGAGGAUAGGACACCAGUGGCCAGCCCGACGUUGAUGCACUGAAAAGAGGGAAGUGUAGUAAGAGCUGUACCUCCAGGACAUGUGAGCAUGGUGUUGGAUGCCCAUCCUGCAGGACAGUCCGGGCCACGAGGGUGCUGGCUGCCGCUUUGCCUUGCUCUGAGGAAAGAGAAAUGCAUUUUAUACCUUAUCCGAACAGUCUUAAGAGCAUUGAGUCAGGGGUGAUUAAACUCGUCGCCCGGGUACCAAAUGGAACAACAACAAAAAACACGGCUGCACAACAUCACCACCUUGAGGGAGAAGGCUGUCUUCUUUUGGGAUGAAGCACAUUAUCCUCCACCUCCCUAGCACACAAGACUUGCUGACGCACAUGUGGUGCAGCGAAUCAGAUCAGUGGAAAAUGGCCUGAGUAGAAAGGCGGUGCACCUGUGUUGGCCAACUCAACUCUAAGGGCAGUCUUCUGAGAACCGGGGUACUGGACAUGGCAUGUAGAGGUUGAACUACAAUAACAGCACUACUUGGAGCCAUAAAAAACCCAAGAACCUCGACUAAGUGUCCCCCUUGUGUCACCACAACUGCUCUGACCCAUCGGCAUGGACUCCACAAGACCUCUGUAGGUGUCCUCUGGUAUCUGGCACCAAGACAUGGGCAGCAGAUCUUUUCAGUCCUGCAAAGACUGAUGGACUUGUGCACUACAGAAAAAGUUGCCUUAUUGAAAAUGAUGUCUGGAAGACAUGGGACGUGCAAAGGGACUGAAGAUCAACAAGGACACUUGAAGUAUUCUGUAAUCCGAGAUGUUGGAGACAGUAAGAGAUUGGCAAAAUGACUCCAAGGGAACAUGUUGAUCCUUCUCGAUACUGUGAAAAUGGUCACCAAUAGGGCUCUCGAGUUUUGUGUUUUUUAAAUUUAUUUCUGAUUUUUUUCCUUUUUCUCACAGUUUAGUGGCCAGUCGAUCCCUAUUUUAGUUCAAACACCCACCCUUGUACUGCAUGCGUUCGCCAACUGCAUCUCUCCGGCUGGCAGUCUCCAAGGAGACCCUUGCCACUUCCAUGACAAGGUGAAUCCAGGCUGAACCACUGCUUCCCCCCCACCACACACAGACGCAUUCAUGGGACGAACACAAGCCGACUCCGCCCCCCUCCCGAAGACAGCGCUGCCAGUUACUGCUGCUUCACUGAGUCCGGCCAUAGUCGGAUCUGACGAGAGCGGGGCGCGGGCUCUCGAGUUUUUUAGGCAUGGAAAUAUGUGCACUUACCUGGAGGUGUGUAUGUGUUGCAAAGUCAUUGUUUUAAUUAUCUGAAAAUAAACUUUCUGUAAUUUUGUUGUAAAGUGUGCACAGAUAGCCAGGAAGACAUUUGAGCCAUUAUGUACCAUAAAGCUUUAGUGACAGUUUGUAUGGAAUGUGAACUGACAGAUGAAACACAUCUAUUUGAACUACAUCUGCAGUUAGACUCAGAAUACAUUAUUCAUCCCCGAGGGGAAAUUAAGUUCUAUUACAGUCACGCUCUAAAAACUAACAAAAUAGAAAACAGAAACAAGAUAAAUAAGAAAUAGAAAUAAGAACAAAAUAUAUCAACAAGCAUGGUGCAUAUAACACCCUAUCUAUACUGCACUACCGCAGCACACAAGCGGCACAAAACUCGACAGGGCCAAUCCAAUGACCAUUAACUCCGUGUCUUGACGGUCAGAGUCUGAGGGGGGAGGUGUAAAGUCUGAUGGCCACAGGCAGGAAUGACCUCCUGCGGCGCUCUGUGGUGCUUUUCGGCAGCAUGAGUAUUACUAAAAGUACUCCUGUGCCCGACCAGCACGUCAUGGAGUGGGUGGGAGACACUGCCCAUGAUGGCACAUAACUUCAACAGCGUCCUCCUCUCAGAAACCGCCGCCAGAGAAUCCAGUUCCACCCCCACAACGUCAUCGGCCUUGCGGAUCAGUUUAUUGAGCCUGUUUGCAUCCACUACCCUCAACCUGCUGCCCCAACACACAACAGCAAACAGGAGAGCACUGGCCACCAUAGACUCACACCACAUCCUGAGCAUUGUCUGGCAGAUGUUGAAGGACCUCAGCCUCCUCAAAAAGUAGAGACGACUCUGUCCCUUCCUGUAGAGGGCAUCAGUGUUCUUAGCCCCGUCCAGUUUAUUGUUUAUAUACACCCCCAGGUACUUAUCGUAUUCCAGUGCCCACACUGUGGAAUACUAUAAGGUGAACAGAACAAGCCGAUAUUGUUUGACUGAUAUUGUUUGAUAUAUCCUUUGACUUUAAAAAAAAGAAACAUUAAAGAUACAUGAAACAUUUUGAA